RNAcentral lists this ribosomal RNA (252 nucleotides) under uncultured bacterium. Its description in RNAcentral is "partial 16S ribosomal RNA". It matches the Rfam family "Bacterial small subunit ribosomal RNA", at positions 57 to 305 of the family's 1533-position model. The record is from RNAcentral.
GCAAGUCGUGCGGUAACAGGACUUAGCUUGCUAAUUUGCUGACGAGCGGCGGACGGGUGAGUAAUGCCUGGGAAUAUGCCUUGAUGUGGGGGAUAACUAUUGGAAACGAUAGCUAAUACCGCAUAAUGCCUACGGGCAAAAGAGGGGGAUCUUCGGACCUCUCGCGUCAAGAUGAGCCCGGGUGGGAUUAGCUAGUUGGUGAGGUAAUGGCUCACCAAGGCGACGAUCCCUAGCUGGUUUGAGAGGAUGAUC